CAUUUAAGUCUUUAAUCCAUCUUGAAUUAAUUUUUGUAUAAGGUGUAAGGAAGGGAUCCAGUUUCAGCUUUCUGCAUAUGGCUAGCCAGUUUUCCCAGCAUCAUUUAUUAAAUAAGGAUUCCUUUCCCCAUUUCUUGUUUUUGUCAGGUUUGUCAAAGAUCAGAUAGUUGUAGAUGUGUGGUGGCUGUGGGUUUGUCAUAAAUAGAUCUUAUUAUUUUGAGAUACGUCCCAUCAAUACUUAAUUUAUUUAGAGAUUUUAGCAUGAAGGCUGCAUAUGUUGAACCAGCCUUGCAUCCCAGGGAUGAAGCCCACUUGAUCAUGGUGGAUAAGCUUUUUGAUGUGCUGCUGGAUUUGGUUUGCCAGUAUUUUAUUGAGGAUUUUUGCAUCAAUGUUCAUCAGGGAUAGUUAUCUAAAAUUCUCUUUUUUUGUUGUGUCUCUGCCAGGCUUUAGUAUCAGGAUGAUGCUGGCCUCAUAAAAUGAGUUAGGGAGGAUUUCCUCUUUUUCUAUUGAUUGGAAUAGUUUCAGAAGGAAUGGUACCAGCUCUUCCUUGUACCUCUUGUAUAAUUUGGCCGUGAAUCCGUCUGGUCCUGGACUUUUUUUGGUUGGUAGGCUAUUAAUUAUUGCCUCAAUUUCAGAGACUGUUAUUGGUCUAUUCAGGGAUUCAACUCCUUCCUGAUUUAGUCUUGGGAAGGUGUA
Molecule: long non-coding RNA, 696 nt
Filed under: Pan troglodytes (chimpanzee)
Lineage: Eukaryota; Metazoa; Chordata; Mammalia; Primates; Hominidae
Description: long non-coding RNA NONPTRT015231
Source: RNAcentral